UUGACGGGGGCCCGCACAAGCGGUGGAGUAUGUGGUUUAAUUCGAUGCAACGCGAAGAACCUUACCUGGUCUUGACAUCCCGGAGACCCUUAGGAAACUAGGGGUGCUUCCAUCUGGAAGAAUCUGGAGACAGGUGCUGCAUGGCUGUCGUCAGCUCGUGUCGUGAGAUGUUGGGUUAAGUCCCGCAACGAGCGCAACCCUUGCCUUUAGUUGCCAGCAGUUCGGCUGGGCACUCUAAAGGGACUGCCGGUGUUAAACCGGAGGAAGGUGGGGAUGACGUCAAGUCCUCAUGGCCUUUAUGACCAGGGCUACACACGUACUACAAUGGCCGAUACAAAGGGCAGCGACACUGCGAGGUGAAGCCAAUCCCGUAAAAUCGGUCUCAGUCCGGAUUGGAGUCUGCAACCCGACUCCAUGAAGUUGGAAUCGCUAGUAAUCGUGGAUCAGCAUGCCACGGUGAAUACGUUCCCGGGCCUU
RNAcentral lists this ribosomal RNA (477 nucleotides) under uncultured Desulfobulbus sp. RNAcentral describes it as "bacterial SSU rRNA". It matches the Rfam family "Bacterial small subunit ribosomal RNA", at positions 910 to 1382 of the family's 1533-position model. Lineage: Bacteria; Pseudomonadati; Thermodesulfobacteriota; Desulfobulbia; Desulfobulbales; Desulfobulbaceae. The record is from RNAcentral.